GAUGAAGAACGUAGCGAAAUGCGAUAAGUAAUGUGAAUUGCAGAAUUCAGUGAAUCAUCGAAUCUUUGAACGCACAUUGCGCCCCCUGGUAUUCCGGGGGGCAUGCCUGUCCGAGCGUCAUUACAACCCUCAAGCUCAGCUUGGUAUUGGGCCCCGCCGCUCCGGCGGGCCCUAAAGUCAGUGGCGGUGCCGUCCGGCUCCGAGCGUAGUAAUUCUUCUCGCUCUGGAGGUCCGGUCGUGUGCUCGCCAGCAACCCCCAAUUUUUUUCAGGUUGACCUCGGAUCAGGUAGGGAUACCCGCUGAACUUAAGCAUAUCAAUAAGCGGGGA
Molecule: unclassified non-coding RNA, 328 nt
Filed under: soil metagenome
Description: partial contains 5.8S ribosomal RNA, internal transcribed spacer 2, and large subunit ribosomal RNA
Rfam family: 5.8S ribosomal RNA (bases 1-120)
Source: RNAcentral